RNAcentral lists this ribosomal RNA (491 nucleotides) under uncultured bacterium. RNAcentral's name for it is "bacterial SSU rRNA". It matches the Rfam family "Bacterial small subunit ribosomal RNA", at positions 588 to 1084 of the family's 1533-position model. The record is from RNAcentral.
UCAGUUGUGAAAGUUUGCGGCUCAACCGUAAAAUUGCAGUUGAUACUGGGUGUCUUGAGUACAGUAGAGGCAGGCGGAAUUCGUGGUGUAGCGGUGAAAUGCUUAGAUAUCACGAAGAACUCCGAUUGCGAAGGCAGCUUGCUGGACUGUAACUGACGCUGAUGCUCGAAAGUGUGGGUAUCAAACAGGAUUAGAUACCCUGGUAGUCCACACAGUAAACGAUGAAUACUCGCUGUUUGCGAUAUACAGUAAGCGGCCAAGCGAAAGCGUUAAGUAUUCCACCUGGGGAGUACGCCGGCAACGGUGAAACUCAAAGGAAUUGACGGGGGCCCGCACAAGCGGAGGAACAUGUGGUUUAAUUCGAUGAUACGCGAGGAACCUUACCCGGGCUUAAAUUGCAGAUGAAUUACGGUGAAAGCCGUAAGCCGCAAGGCAUCUGUGAAGGUGCUGCAUGGUUGUCGUCAGCUCGUGCCGUGAGGUGUCGGCUUAAG